GAAAAAUUGCAGCUGCCUUCUCCCCAAGAGGAAGAGUUCCUAGAUCAAGUGAAGAGGAAGCUGGCUCAGACCAGCCCUGAGAAAGACCUGUUGACCACAAAGCCUUGUCACUGUAAGGAUAUCCUGAAGUUAGUGCUCUUACCCCUCACCCAGCAUUGCUUGGUCGUUGGAGAAACCACCUGUGCAUUUUAUUACCUGCUGGAGGCUGCGGCUGCCUGCUUGGACCUGUCAGAUAAUUAUAUGGCCUUCUUUUAUUUGAGGAAGGCAAGCAGUCU
RNAcentral lists this long non-coding RNA (275 nucleotides) under Homo sapiens (human). RNAcentral's name for it is "non-protein coding lnc-NFYA-1:5". Lineage: Eukaryota; Metazoa; Chordata; Mammalia; Primates; Hominidae. The record is from RNAcentral.